GGGCCCGCACAAGUAGUGGAGCAUGUGGUUUAAUUCGAAGAUACGCGCAGAACCUUACCAACACUUGACAUGUUCGUCGCGACUUUAAGAGAUUAAAGUUUUCGGUUCGGCCGACGAAACACAGGUGCUGCAUGGCUGUCGUCAGCUCGUGUCGUGAGAUGUUGGUUAAGUCCCGCAACGAUGCGCAACCCUCACUUUUUAGUUGCCAUCAUUAAGUUGGGCACUCUGAAAGAACUGCCAGUGAUAAGCUGGAGGAAGGUGGGGAUGACGUCAAGUCCUCAUGGCCCUUACGUGUUGGGCUACACACGUGCUACAAUGGUAUCUACAACAGGAAGCAAGACGGCGACGUUAGCAAA
This 356-nucleotide ribosomal RNA is filed under the name uncultured bacterium. RNAcentral describes it as "bacterial SSU rRNA". It matches the Rfam family "Bacterial small subunit ribosomal RNA", at positions 917 to 1271 of the family's 1533-position model. The record is from RNAcentral.